CAGCUUGUCCUUUGAUGAAUCCAGCAAAAACCUUUAACUUCGUGAUUCUCCGGUAGCAAAACUCAAUUUGUCUACCUCACGACAUGUACACCGAACCAAAAUUGUCACCACCACAAAAGCUCACGGUGUAGACGUCUCUUCACCUCCGUUGCUUCCGAUAGACGUUUCUUUGCUACAACCAUAUUUCUUCAAGGUAAACUUUUGAACUCAUCCUUUAUCAAGCUU
Long non-coding RNA from Raphanus sativus (radish), 225 nucleotides. RefSeq lists it as uncharacterized. The transcript is spliced from 3 exons. The record is from RefSeq and is a predicted model, not a curated record. NCBI's taxonomy places the organism in Eukaryota, Viridiplantae, Streptophyta, Magnoliopsida, Brassicales, Brassicaceae.